GAUGUGCUAGAGACUUGGAGAGGUAAGUGGAAUUCGGUGUGUAGGGGUAAAAUCCGUAGAUACACCGAGGAACACCAAAAGCGAAGGCAGCUUACUGGCCCAAGUUCUGACGCUCAGGGACGAAAGCGUGGGGAGCGAAGAGGAUUAGAUACCCUCGUAGUCCACGCCGUAAACGAUGGAUACUAGCUGUUGGUUCCGCUCGACCGGAAUCAGUGGCGUCGCUAACGCAUUAAGUAUCCCGCCUGUGGAGUACGGCCGCAAGGCUAAAACAUAAAGGAAUAGACGGGGACCCACACAAGCGGUGGAGCAUCUGGUUUAAUUCGAUAUUAAGCGAGGAACCUUACCAGGGCUUGACAUCCUCCGAAUCCAUCCGAAAGGAAGGAGUGCCGUAAGGAACGGAGUGACAGGUGCUGCAUGGUUGUCGUCAGCUCGUGCCUUGAGGUGUUCGGUUAAGUCCGUAAACGAGCGCAACCCUUGUCCUUAGUUGUAUUUCUCUAAGGAGACUGCCCUGCAUAACGGGGAGGAAGGUAGGGAUGACGUCAAAUCAGCAUGGCCCUUAUGUCCUGGGCGACACAGGUGCUACAAUGGCCGGUACAACGAGUCGCUAACCCGCGAGGGGGAGCCAAUCUCUUAAAACCGGUCUAAGUUCGAAUCGGAGGCUGCAACUCGCCUCCAUGAAGUUGGAAUCGCUAGUAAACG
This 699-nucleotide ribosomal RNA is filed under the name uncultured bacterium. Its description in RNAcentral is "bacterial SSU rRNA". It matches the Rfam family "Bacterial small subunit ribosomal RNA", at positions 635 to 1344 of the family's 1533-position model. The record is from RNAcentral.